Molecule: ribosomal RNA, 476 nt
Filed under: Glyptorhagada kooringensis
Lineage: Eukaryota; Metazoa; Mollusca; Gastropoda; Stylommatophora; Camaenidae
Description: partial 12S ribosomal RNA
Source: RNAcentral
CUUUAGUAGUGAGAGAUAGGCAGCAGAUAAACACACUUAGCAGCAUUACGAGUGGUGAAAUACAGAAAUAUAUACCCCUGCCCGUGUGUAGUAAUAGCGAAACACUGCUGCUAAACAGGGAUUAGAGACCCCUUUAUACAAGUGCUCAUUUUAUUUUGCGGAGUACUAAGACUUUCAUAGUUAAAACUUAAACAACAUGGCGGUAACUUUAACUUAGGGGAACUUACCUAAUAAAUGAUAACCACCAAGGUAAAACAACUGUAUAAAAAUCUUGUAUGCCGUCGUCGUCAGGUAGUGCUUGAUGUCCUACCACGAAAGAUAACUUAAAAGACAGAUCAAGGUGCAGACAAUUCUACAGAUAGGGCGAGUUACAAUUUUAACUACUAACGGAUAGACUACGUAAUUAACAUCUGAAGACGGACUUAACAGUAAUAAAAACUACCAUUAUUUUAUGAACUCUUGGAAGUUGUGCACAA